Molecule: non-coding RNA, 45 nt
Organism: Nippostrongylus brasiliensis
Lineage: Eukaryota; Metazoa; Nematoda; Chromadorea; Rhabditida; Heligmosomidae
Source: Rfam
CCAACGGCCCUCUUUAGGGCCACAAUUAUGAGUUGAAAAACGAAU